GUCCCCUUCGUCUAUAGGUAAGCACAGGACUCUUUCAAGGUUAUAAGAUGGGUUCAAAUGCCACAAAGAAA
Molecule: transfer RNA, 71 nt
Filed under: Gormaniella terricola
Lineage: Eukaryota; Viridiplantae; Chlorophyta; Chlorophyceae; Chaetopeltidales; Chaetopeltidaceae
Description: tRNA-Glu
Source: RNAcentral